AAAACAAAAGAAGAAAAAGCG
This 21-nucleotide small RNA is filed under the name Arabidopsis thaliana (thale cress). RNAcentral's name for it is "ATSL237690". Lineage: Eukaryota; Viridiplantae; Streptophyta; Magnoliopsida; Brassicales; Brassicaceae. The record is from RNAcentral.